RNAcentral lists this ribosomal RNA (429 nucleotides) under uncultured archaeon. RNAcentral describes it as "bacterial SSU rRNA". It matches the Rfam family "Archaeal small subunit ribosomal RNA", at positions 474 to 903 of the family's 1478-position model. The record is from RNAcentral.
UACCUGCAGCUCGAGUGGUAACCGCUAUUAUUGGGCCUAAAGCGUCCGUAGCCGGUUUGGUAAAUAUCUGGGUAAAUCGUGAGGCUUAACUUCACGAAUUUCGGAUAGACUGCCAGACUUGGGAUCGGGGGAGGUCAGAGGUACUCCAGGGGUAGCGGUGAAAUGUUGUAAUCCUUGGAGGACCACCGGUAGCGAAGGCGUCUGACUAGAAUGAGUCCGACGGUGAGGGACGAAGCCCUGGGGCGCAAACCGGAUUAGAUACCCGGGUAGUCCAGGGUGUGAACGAUGUGGGCUUUGUAUUGGAGGUCCCACGUGGGCGUCCAGUGCAGAAGAGAAGUUGUUAAGCCCACCGCCUGGGAAGUACGGUCGCAAGGCUGAAACUUAAAGGAAUUGGCGGGGGAGCACAGCAACGGGAGGAGCGUGCGGUUU